GAUUGGAGCUUAACCACCACAUGGUGUGGUCGCUGUGCUUAAAAGGCUUCACUUCGCCUUGCCGUAAAGCAGAGCCAAUACGUAACUUUUCGGAGUACGUGAGAAGUUGGAUUUUGUGUGUGCCUUUGUGUGCAGAGUUGGACGCCAUGGUAACCCACUAGGCUUAGCAAGUGGCUCCGGUUGCCGAGAUGCCAUCGCACGCCCAUUGGUCGUAUCCACUCGACCACUGGGUACGGUUGUCCGCUUACACGGCGCGGAGAGCUCAUGACCUGUCUGUGCUUGUUCAGGUAAGGAUGUCGACUGUUGAUCCGAUUGCUCAACGCCUUCUUCAGCCACCAAAGCAGGUCUUGAAUUCCUGCAGGCCUCCUUUGUUUUCCUCAGGUGACGGCGAUUUCGACGAUAUCUGGCUCCAUCUUCGGUAGCCACCUCGAAGGACCGAGUUCCAACACACCUUUCAACCUUUGCUUUCACCGCUUCUUUACUCGGAUUUCCAGGCGGCACGAGUUGCAAUGUAUCUCCACUUCUAACUGCUCUCAGAUCCUUAGCCCCCCUUUUUUAAGCAAGGAAUUGUCGUUCUUUCUUGGCGAGAAGUUUCUGAUAGAUCUUGGGCCCGACAACUGGCCUGAGAAGCUUAGGAAUGAUGGGUAGUUGUGCUCUUGUGCGCCUUGACAUCAAUCGCUGCACUGGACUGGUGCCCAAUCCCUGACUAGGCGUGUUUCUGUAUUCGAGGAGAGCGAGGUAUGGAUCUGUUCUGGCUUUUCUUGACUUCCUCAUUUUUAGCGGAGUUAACAGCUGCUUCUACCUUUCCGUGGCUUUGCGGAUAAGCUGGCGAACUUACAUGCACAAAGUUCCACUGGCGACUGAAUUCCUUAAAUUCAGUUGAGGUAGACUGAGGACCGUUGUCAGAUACACACGGCUCCAGGAUUCCAUUCCUUGCAAAGUGCGACUUUAACUUCUGUACUACCGCCCCCGAAGUAGUUUUGUCAAGGGAAUCGAUUUCCCAGAAAGAAGAAUAGUAAUCAACACAAAUGAGACAGUUUCGACCCCUGUAAGUGAACAAGUCAACUCCAACUUUCGCCCAUGGCCGGUCGGGCACUUCAUGAGGAAUGAGAGUCUCCUUAGGCUGCUUCCGGUCAAACGCCCUGCAGACAUCACACAUUUCAAUAAACUGCUUGAUUUCAGCGCUCAUUCCUGGCCAGUAUAUACUUUCUCUAGCGAGCAAAAGGGCGCUUACAACUCCACUAUGAGCAUAAUGCAGACGAUACAACAUGUCUCGACGCAGCGACUUUGGGACCACUACUGUUUCUCCUCUAAUGACAAUGCCAUCGCAGACGCUCAACUCAUCACGAACGUCAAAGAAGGGCAACACCAGGUGAGAUAGCUCUCCUUUAGUUUCAGGCCAACCAGCCUUGAUGACUUUAAUCAGUUCUAGAAGGCUGUUAUCCUUCUGCGUGUGGUCUGGAAUUUCUUGAAGCGUACUCGGCUUCAAACGGAUGUGUGCUGCGUCAUGUUGAUACUCUCAAUCUUUAAAGCGACAUCCUGGCUUCCAUCGUAGGGUUAAUAAGCCCAACUAGGGUGUCGGCCAGAUCCAUGGUGGAGCCCUUCUUGUAGCCAAGGCUGACGUUGUACAACUGGACUCGCAUGAGCAUGCGCUGAAGCCUCUUCGGAGUUCGAUGCAGUGGCUUCUUGAAAAUAACUUCCAGAGGCUUGUGGUCUGAUUCCACAAACACUUCUUUUACCGUAAGUGUAAGUAUGAAACCUUUCCAAAUCGUAAACAACAGCCAAAAGCUCCUUCUCAAUCCGGGCGUACCAAGACUCUGCAUCGGUUAGCGCACGGCUCGCACAGGCAAUCGGCUGACCCUUCUGAAGUAGGAUGGCACCCAGUCCUUAAUCUGAUGCAUCGCACUGUAAGGUGAGGCUCUCUGUUGAGUCGAAAAAUUUGAGGACAGGUGCCUUUGUGACCAGCAGCUUCACUUGUCGGACAGCACUGUCAUGUAUGUCAGUCCAGAACCACUCUACAUCUGGUGAACUGAGCUUACAGAGUGGCUCCAAUGCAUCACUUAGUCGAGGCAAGAACUUGCUCAGGUAAUUUGUGAAUCCAAUAAAUCUUCGUACACUGGCCACGUCAG
Molecule: long non-coding RNA, 2129 nt
Organism: Pocillopora verrucosa
Lineage: Eukaryota; Metazoa; Cnidaria; Anthozoa; Scleractinia; Pocilloporidae
Source: RefSeq, a predicted model, not a curated record